Long non-coding RNA from Poecile atricapillus (Black-capped chickadee), 740 nucleotides. RefSeq lists it as uncharacterized. Lineage: Eukaryota; Metazoa; Chordata; Aves; Passeriformes; Paridae. The record is from RefSeq and is a predicted model, not a curated record. The transcript has 7 exons.
GCGGGCGGGCGCGCGGGUGUCCCCGGGCGUGGGGCAAGAACUUGGAAAGAUGGCUGUGUUCUGCACUGUGAAAUCAAAGUCCAGAGACCAUUUAAAGGACAAUAAUUGCAGAAAACAAAUAAAGAAGAGGAGCCUGAAAGAAUACAUAGAGAUUUUGAAACAAGAAGUGUGAAACAAAUCCUUGUUCUGCUCAGGCCCCCAGCUGUGCAACAUGAUCUAAAACUCUUAAUUAGACUUGUAAUACUUUGACAAAUUAUUCCAGCUGACCUAACCCUGAGAUGUAAAAUACGUGAUGUCCACACAACUAUGCUUGCAACUGUCACCUGCUUCAAACUUUUUAAGAAUUAACCCUGGGGGUUUGCCAGUAUUAGAGCUCACCUAUAUGAAUGACCUUGACCAGUAAAGACUAAUUUAGAAAACAGACUAAAGGAGAGGAACCUAGACAUGUACACCUGCUUCGGAAAACGCUGCAAUUAAAAUGGAUUGCACAUCAACACUAAUAAUUUGAUGACUUUGGAGGUGUGUCCCUUCAAAACUAGUGAGUCCAUUUCAUUUAAUUUUGGCAAUUUUCAAUAGUUCGUUUUGUUAUUCUGUUCCAGGUCUUCUACUGUUACAUGCAUUUGAAACAGAUUUUCCAAUAUAUGCUCUGUAAAGAAAGCUCCUUCUGUUUGGUUUUUUUCAUUUUUAUUUCUGACAGCUUCUCAUGGCGGCACUAAAAAGUCUUCAUGACACUCACAAAA